This 278-nucleotide ribosomal RNA is filed under the name uncultured bacterium. RNAcentral's name for it is "partial 16S ribosomal RNA". It matches the Rfam family "Bacterial small subunit ribosomal RNA", at positions 28 to 303 of the family's 1533-position model. The record is from RNAcentral.
GAUUAACGCUAGCGGCAGGCCUAAUACAUGCAAGUCGAACGGCAGCACGGGUAGCAAUACCUGGUGGCGAGUGGCGCACGGGUGCGUAACGCGUAUGCAAUCUACCUGUAACUGGGGAAUAGCCUUCCGAAAGGAAGAUUAACACCGCAUAAAAUCACGAAGCGGCAUCGUUUUGUGAUCAAAUCUCCGGAGGUUACAGAUGAGCAUGCGUGACAUUAGCUAGUUGGUGGGGUAACGGCCCACCAAGGCUACGAUGUCUAGGGGGUCUGAGAGGAUGA